This 275-nucleotide ribosomal RNA is filed under the name uncultured Roseateles sp. Its description in RNAcentral is "partial 16S ribosomal RNA". It matches the Rfam family "Bacterial small subunit ribosomal RNA", at positions 8 to 287 of the family's 1533-position model. The record is from RNAcentral. Lineage: Bacteria; Pseudomonadati; Pseudomonadota; Betaproteobacteria; Burkholderiales; Sphaerotilaceae.
AGAGUUUGAUCAUGGCUCAGAUUGAACGCUGGCGGCAUGCCUUACACAUGCAAGUCGAACGGUAACAGGUCUUCGGAUGCUGACGAGUGGCGAACGGGUGAGUAAUGUAUCGGAACGUGCCCAGUCGUGGGGGAUAACUGCUCGAAAGAGCAGCUAAUACCGCAUACGACCUGAGGGUGAAAGCGGGGGAUCGCAAGACCUCGCGCGAUUGGAGCGGCCGAUAUCAGAUUAGGUAGUUGGUGGGGUAAAGGCCUACCAAGCCUGCGAUCUGUAGC